This 497-nucleotide ribosomal RNA is filed under the name uncultured bacterium. RNAcentral's name for it is "partial 16S ribosomal RNA". It matches the Rfam family "Bacterial small subunit ribosomal RNA", at positions 28 to 507 of the family's 1533-position model. The record is from RNAcentral.
GAUGAACGCUGGCGGCGUGCCUAAUACAUGCAAGUCGAGCGAACAGACGAGGAGCUUGCUCCUCUGACGUUAGCGGCGGACGGGUGAGUAACACGUGGAUAACCUACCUAUAAGACUGGGAUAACUUCGGGAAACCGGAGCUAAUACCGGAUAAUAUAUUGAACCGCAUGGUUCAAUAGUGAAAGACGGUUUUGCUGCCACUUAUAGAUGGAUCCGCGCCGCAUUAGCUAGUUGGUAAGGUAACGGCUUACCAAGGCAACGAUGCGUAGCCGACCUGAGAGGGUGAUCGGCCACACUGGAACUGAGACACGGUCGAGACUCCUACGGGAGGCAGCAGUAGGGAAUCUUCCGCAAUGGGCGAAAGCCUGACGGAGCAACGCCGCGUGAGUGAUGAAGGUCUUCGGAUCGUAAAACUCUGUUAUUAGGGAAGAACAAAUGUGUAAGUAACUAUGCACGUCUUGACGGUACCUAAUCAGAAAGCCACGGCUAACUACGUG